UACGUAGGUGGCAAGCGUUGUCCGGAUUUACUGGGCGUAAAGAGCGCGCAGGCGGUCGGAUCAGUCGAAUGUGAAAGCCCCCGGCUCAACUGGGGAGGGUCAUUCGAUACUGUCCGACUCGAAGGCAGGAGAGGGAAGCGGAAUUCCCGGUGUAGUGGUGAAAUGCAUAGAUAUCGGGAGGAACACCAGUGGCGAAGGCGGCUUUCUGGCCUGUUCUUGACGCUGAGGCGCGAAAGCUAGGGGAGCGAACGGG
RNAcentral lists this ribosomal RNA (253 nucleotides) under uncultured bacterium. RNAcentral's name for it is "partial 16S ribosomal RNA". It matches the Rfam family "Bacterial small subunit ribosomal RNA", at positions 524 to 776 of the family's 1533-position model. The record is from RNAcentral.